Molecule: long non-coding RNA, 2984 nt
Organism: Mus musculus (house mouse)
Lineage: Eukaryota; Metazoa; Chordata; Mammalia; Rodentia; Muridae
Product: predicted gene, 38594
Exons: 4
Source: RefSeq, a predicted model, not a curated record
CUCUCCCUGCAGCCCGUGGACCCUGAUGUAGAACUCUUCAUUACUUCUCUAGCACCAUGCCACCAUGCUGAUAAUGGACUAAACCUCUAAACUAUCUGUAAAAGAGGAUUCAUGUACCAACGUACAUUUGUAGGGCUCUGUCGCGUCUGCUCUAGACCAGCAAGAACGACACAACACAGUCGGAUUCUUCUCAACAGCCUUUAUUGCAGGAAUGCCUCGAUGCUUCUACGGAGACCCCGGGCGCCCAGGGAGCCCUGCUUACAUGCACCCCAGCACAGGAGAAGGCUCCAUGGCCCCCUGGGAUUGGUCAGUCUGGUGGCACCCAAUUUGCAUGCACCCUCUUGGGAGGGGUUGGCGCCAAAUUCGAAUUGACGCCUGUGCAGUGGUGUUGUUUAUGACAACGGCAAUCGGAAACUGGCGCCAUCUUGGAGUUGGCUUCCCACAGGGUUCAGAGGACAAUCUGCAGGAGUCCAUUCUCUGUCUACCAUGUGGAUCCCAUGGAUUGAGCUCAGGUUGUCAGGUUGCCACUCAGUCACCAGGAAGUGAAAGGAGUAGAAGAAUUAGGAGGCGUGGCCUUGUUGGAGUAAGUGUGCCCCUGGAGGGAGCUUUGGGGUUUCUAAAGCCCCUGCCAGACCCAGUCUCUCUCUUGACCAGGAUAUACAUCUCAGCUACUUCUCCAGCCUACUUGCCAUGUUCACUGCCAUGAUGGUCUAAGCCUCUGAAGCUGAAAGCAAGCCCCCAGUUAAAUGCUUUUCUUUAUAAGAACUGUCAUGGGCAUUGUGUCCCUUCAUAGCAAUAGAACACUGACUAUAAUAAGAUACUUCUGGUAGAAAUAUAAAUUAAUAUAGUCACUAUAGAAAUCAAUAUAAAAAUUCUCACAGCUAUACCAUCCCUGGGUACUCACAGCUCAAAGACCACACUAAUAGAUGGUUUCAUGUCAAAAUGCUGACCAUUUUUCAAGGAAGUUGUGUCUACCUGACCUGGCACUGAAGAUGUGCACUGACUCUGCUCUUAACUCCCUGGCCAGCCAGCUACCCUUCUAUUGUAUUGUCUUCCUAUAAUAUAAAGACUGUUAAGCUUAUGUGUUUACUAUGGUGCCUGUUCCAACUGCGAAAGGUGGAAAGAAACCAACUAAGUGUCCCCCAGUGGAUGCAUUCUGCAUCUUAUCUCUGGAAUGUAGAUACUCCUUAACAGCCUUGGGUGUCAGGCUGGGCUCAGCAUGUAACUCAUGUCCUUGGAAGUCUUGGGAGUCAGGAAGAGAUAAGGAAGAGGGGACUAUAAUUCAUCUUUUUACAGCCUCAGGUGCUAGCAGGGGAAUAGGGAGGAGGGGGUGAUGACCGGGUCCUUAGCACAAGGCCGUUUGGCUUGUUAGGGUGGGAAGCUGUGAAAGGCUUGCUUUCUCAUGGCAUGGUCUCCGACACAUGGCUGUUCCUAUGUAAGAUAGAGGAGAAAGUUUAUUAUAGAUAUGUAGGAGGCAUAGCCAGAGGCAGACACAUCUUGGAGAGUCCAGAGUGGUCAUGACCCAGAGCCAUGUCGGAGGGGAAGGGAGAGAGGAGAGCCAAGUACAACACCUAAAGGCAUAGCAGAAUUUUAGUAGAACCUUUGUAUCUGGCAUGAAUCUGUCAUGAUGGCACCUAAGCUUUGAAGAAGCCUUUUGUUAGUGAUUGCUAUCAGCUCCUCUUCUUCUUCUGGCCAGCCAACCUACUAAAACUACCAUGUUAUUUCCUUUACUAGAUUCUCUGGUAGAUCCCCAAGUCUGGGAUGUUACUAAACACCAUUCUCCUGUUGUCAUCCAAUUACUGGACUCUAUCAGAUACAUAUGCUAGGAUCACGGACCAAUCAUUUCUUCUAUCAACAUCGCAAGACAUUCUUUUUCUACAUACAAGACCAUGGGAUUCCAGGUGGGAGACAGGAGGUGUUGGUAAGCUCUACUGUAAAAAUCAGCCCAGUUCCCCAGUAAGUACCAUCCCUAUCCAGAGAAAAUAUGUCUCAAUUGCCCAAUCCCUAGAUAUUGGAAAAGUAGGGGAGAUAAUCAAACCCUCCUCUGAGGUCCUUACCUCUGUGACAUCACCCCUCAUCAAUGCCACCACCUUGUCAUUUCUCCUUUUGCUUUAGACUUUGUCCUCGGCAUACCAACUCCUUAAUGUCACCAGGCCUGGAUGCUUUAAAGAUUGCUGGCUAUGCGUACCUCCUGGAACUAACUCGCAAUUGUCACUUACAGCAUCUCUGGUGAUAUUGCCAAGUAACCUUACCUCAUCCUUUGUCAGCUGCCCUGACUCUAAUGUUGCCAUGACUCCAUACCUUACCUCUAUCCCUUUCUUUGGUGUAGCAAACUGUUUUAAGACCUCCGGGACUCAUUCUGUAGGAACACUGAGCUCCCUGGAAUGCAAUAGAACCAUAACCCUCGAUACAUCAUCUCUGCCACAAUGCCCCGCAGACCAGAACACGUCAAUUCUCUGUGGCACUCAGAAACAGAUCGAUUCUUUGGUGGCCGUGGUGCUUCAGAACCGAUGCGGGCUAGAUGUCCUGACAGCUAAUGAAGCUCCUGUCACAGGAUUACCAGUCGCUGCCCACAGAAGAGCUGCUGUCCACAGAGGAACCUGAUGCGAACGUUUACCAAGUAGAUCCCAAUGGUGAAAGUCAGCUACCCUCCAAAAUUGAUGACUCCCCUAGACAGUAGGUCGUAACUUAAGAGACACACCCUUGUUCCCUUUUCACCAUCAGCUUCCCCCUCCCUUUUUCUUUCCUUCUCUUUAUAACAAGAAGGGAGGUAUGCUGGCAUCAGGAUCUCUCAAACCUAUGACAUCACAUAGCCGACAGAGCGACCUACAGACCUUUUGCCAAGACAACGGGCACCAUAUUUCCAGAAUCCACUUGAUUCACCUCCCACCUUUACCUGUGUUACAUCGUUUUCUAUAUAAAUAAGGGGAAUGCCCCUUCCCCCUUCUUUUCCCCCUUCUCUUUCUGUUACCACCCCCAUACAC